UACGGAGGGGGCUAGCGUUGUUCGGAAUUACUGGGCGUAAAGCGCACGUAGGCGGCUUUGUAAGUUAGAGGUGAAAGCCCGGGGCUCAACUCCAGAACUGCCUUCGAUACUGGAAGACUUGAGUCCGGGAGAGGUGAGUGGAACUGCGAGUGUAGAGGUGAAAUUCGUAGAUAUUCGCAAGAACACCAGUGGCGAAGGCGGCUCACUGGCCCGGUACUGACGCUGAGGUGCGAAAGCGUGGGGAGCAAACAGG
This 253-nucleotide ribosomal RNA is filed under the name uncultured bacterium. RNAcentral's name for it is "partial 16S ribosomal RNA". It matches the Rfam family "Bacterial small subunit ribosomal RNA", at positions 524 to 776 of the family's 1533-position model. The record is from RNAcentral.